RNAcentral lists this ribosomal RNA (494 nucleotides) under uncultured bacterium. RNAcentral's name for it is "partial 16S ribosomal RNA". It matches the Rfam family "Bacterial small subunit ribosomal RNA", at positions 30 to 507 of the family's 1533-position model. The record is from RNAcentral.
AUUGAACGCUGGCGGCAUGCUUUACACAUGCAAGUCGAACGGCAGCGGGGGGGAGCUUGCUUCCCUGCCGGCGAGUGGCGAACGGGUGAGUAAUACAUCGGAACGUGUCGAGAAGAGGGGGAUAACCACCGGAAACUGUGGCUAAUACCGCAUAAAUCCUGAGGGAGAAAGCUGGGGACCUAGGGAUAUGCCUAGCGCUUUUUGACCGGCCGAUGUCGGAUUAGCUAGUUGGUGAGGUAAAGGCCCACCAAGGCGAAGAUCUGUAGCUGGUCUGAGAGGAUGAUCAGCCACACUGGAACUGAGACACGGCCCAGACUCCUACGGGAGGCAGCAGUGGGGAAUUUUGGACAAUGGGCGCAAGCCUGAUCCAGCCAUGCCGCGUGUAUGAAGAAGGCCUUAGGGUUGUAAAGUACUUUUGUUAGGGAAGAAAAGUUAGAUGCUAAUAAUCGCUGAUAAUGACGGUACCUAAAGAAUAAGCACCGGCUAACUUCGUG